ACAUAUCAAUAAGCGGAGGAAAAGAAACCAACAGGGAUUGCCCCAGUAACGGCGAGUGAAGCGGCAACAGCUCAAAUUUGAAAUCUGGCCUUCGGGUCCGAGUUGUAAUUUGGAGAGGAUGCUUUUGGCGCGGCGCCGUCCGAGUUCCUUGGAACAGGACGCCAUAGAGGGUGAGAGCCCCGUACGGGCGGCCGCCUAGCCUUUGUAAAGCUCCUUCGACGAGUCGAGUAGUUUGGGAAUGCUGCUCAAAAUGGGAGGUAAAUUUCUUCUAAAGCUAAAUACCGGCCAGAGACCGAUAGCGCACAAGUAGAGUGAUCGAAAGAUGAAAAGCACUUUGAAAAGAGGGUUAAAAAGUACGUGAAAUUGUUGAAAGGGAAGCGCCUGUGACCAGACUUGCGACCCGUGGAUCAUCCGGUGUUCUUCACCGGUGCACUCCGCGGGCUGCAGGCCAGCAUCGGUUUUCCUAGGGGGUUAAAGGUCGCAGGAACGUAGCUCUUUCGGGAGUGUUAUAGCCUGUGGCGUCAUGCCUCUGGGGAGACCGAGGACCGCGCUUCGGCAAGGAUGCUGGCGUAAUGGUCACCGGCGACCCGUCUUGAAACACGGACCAAGGAGUCAAGCAUUGGGGCGAGUGUCUGGGUGCCAAACCCGCACGCGAAAUGAAAGUAAACGCAGGUGAGAGCUUCGGCGCAUCACCGACCGAUCCUGAUGUCUUCGGAUGGAUUUGAGUAAGAGCCUUACCGCUUGGACCCGAAAGAUGGUGAACUAUGCCUGUAUAGGGUGAAGCCAGAGGAAACUCUGGUGGAGGCUCGCAGCGGUUCUGACGUGCAAAUCGAUCGUCAAAUAUGGGCAUGGGGGCGAAAGACUAAUCGAACCAUCUAGUAGCUGGUUA
This 889-nucleotide ribosomal RNA is filed under the name Ophiostoma piceae. RNAcentral's name for it is "LSU rRNA". It matches the Rfam family "Eukaryotic large subunit ribosomal RNA", at positions 38 to 957 of the family's 3401-position model. Lineage: Eukaryota; Fungi; Ascomycota; Sordariomycetes; Ophiostomatales; Ophiostomataceae. The record is from RNAcentral.